UUAUUUUUGUUGCCUAGACUGAUUUUGAUCCAUCGGUUAUAUGGAUGAGGAUUUGUAGUACUUUUGAGGCAUUACAUGUCACCUUGACUUUUUGGACACCAUAAUUUUUGUGGUGGUUUUUGGUUUUGUGCAAUUAAGUUGCUAGUUUAAUUUGUGUAGUUAUUGUUAUUGUGUGGUUUAGUUUAAAUUCAAGUCAUUGGAGUUUUUUUUUUAAUUGUGUUUGUUCCAAGUUUGAUUGACUUGAAGAAACAAGGUUGUUGCUUCUAUGAUUGAUAGUGUUGCAUGCAAAUGUA
This 293-nucleotide long non-coding RNA is filed under the name Lathyrus oleraceus (garden pea). RNAcentral's name for it is "Pisum sativum (pea) long non-coding RNA (PSAT_LNC033348)". The record is from RNAcentral. Lineage: Eukaryota; Viridiplantae; Streptophyta; Magnoliopsida; Fabales; Fabaceae.